Molecule: ribosomal RNA, 457 nt
Filed under: uncultured bacterium
Lineage: Bacteria
Description: partial 16S ribosomal RNA
Rfam family: Bacterial small subunit ribosomal RNA
Source: RNAcentral
CCUACGGGUGGCAGCAGUGAGGAAUAUUGGUCAAUGGGCGGGAGCCUGAACCAGCCAAGCCGCGUGAGGGAAGAAGGUACAGCGUAUCGUAAACCUCUUUUGUCAGGGAACAAAGGCGGGGACUAGUCCCCGGAUGAGGGUACCUGAAGAAAAAGCAUCGGCUAACUCCGUGCCAGCAGCCGCGGUAAUACGGAGGAUGCGAGCGUUAUCCGGAUUUAUUGGGUUUAAAGGGUGCGCAGGCGGCCUGUUAAGUCAGCGGUAAAAGCCCGGGGCUCAACCCCGGCGAGCCGUUGAAACUGGCGGGCUGGAGUUGGAGAGGGCGGUUGAACUCCAUGUGUAGCGGUAAAAUGCGUAGAUAUAUGGAAGAACACCAGUGGGGAAGGCGGCCGCCUGGCCUUUUACUGACGCUGAGGCACGAAAGCGUGGGGAGCAAAUAGGAUUAGAUACCCGAGUAGUC